AGGGGAGUAGCUCAAUUGGCAGAGCAACGGCCUCCAAAUCCGUAGGUUCCGGGUUCGAUUCCUGGCUCCCCUGC
This 74-nucleotide transfer RNA is filed under the name Chloroflexota bacterium. RNAcentral describes it as "tRNA-Trp". It matches the Rfam family "tRNA". Rfam says of the family: Transfer RNA (tRNA) molecules are approximately 80 nucleotides in length. Their secondary structure includes four short double-helical elements and three loops (D, anti-codon, and T loops). Lineage: Bacteria; Bacillati; Chloroflexota. The record is from RNAcentral.